This 497-nucleotide ribosomal RNA is filed under the name uncultured bacterium. Its description in RNAcentral is "bacterial SSU rRNA". It matches the Rfam family "Bacterial small subunit ribosomal RNA", at positions 8 to 507 of the family's 1533-position model. The record is from RNAcentral.
AGAGUUUGAUCAUGGCUCAGGACGAACGCUGGCGGCGUGCUUUAACACAUGCAAGUCGAGCGGAAAGGCUCCUUCGGGGGUACUCGAGCGGCGAACGGGUGAGUAACACGUGAGUAAUCUGCCCUUGGCUUUGGGAUACUACCGGAAACGGUGGCUAAUACCCGGAUACGACCACUCCUUGCAGGAGGUGGUGGUGGAAAGUUUUUUCGGCCAGGGAUGUGCUCGCGGCCUAUCAGCUUGUUGGUGGGGUAAAUGGCCUACCAAGGCUUCGACGGUAGCCGGCCUGAGAGGGUGACCGGCCACACUGGGACUGAGACACGGCCCAGACUCCUACGGGAGGCAGCAGUGGGGAAUAUUGGACAAUGGGCGGAAGCCUGAUCCAGCAACGCCGCGUGAGGGAUGAACGGGCCUUCGGGUUGUAAACCUCUUUCAGUACCGACGAAGCGCCGAUGAUGGUGGUGACGGUAGGUACAGAAGAAGCACCGGCCAACUACGUG